Non-coding RNA from Trichonephila clavipes, 73 nucleotides. The record is from the annotation of a GenBank genome assembly. NCBI's taxonomy places the organism in Eukaryota, Metazoa, Arthropoda, Arachnida, Araneae, Nephilidae.
GUCCCUGUAGCGCAAUGGAUGGCGCAUUGAACUUCUAAUACAGAAGGCGUGGGUUCGAACCCCACCUGGGAUG